This 468-nucleotide ribosomal RNA is filed under the name uncultured bacterium. RNAcentral describes it as "partial 16S ribosomal RNA". It matches the Rfam family "Bacterial small subunit ribosomal RNA", at positions 28 to 507 of the family's 1533-position model. The record is from RNAcentral.
GACGAACGCUGGCGGCGUGCUUAACACAUGCAAGUCGAACGGAAAGGCCCUGCUUGUGUGGGGUGCGCGAGUGGCGAACGGGUGAGUAACACGUGAGUAACCUGCCCUUGACUUUGGGAUAACUUCAGGAAACUUGGGCUAAUACCGGAUAGGAGCUCCUGCUGGAGGGUGGGGGUUGGAAAGUUUCGGCGGGUGGGGAUGGACUCGCGGCUGAUGAGCUUGUUGGUGGGGGAGUGGCUUACCAAGGCUUUGACGGGUACGCCGCCUGAGAGGGUGGCCGGCCCCCUUAGGACUGCGGUACGGACCAGACUCCUACGGGGGGCAGCAGUGGCGAGUAUUGCACAAUGGGCCGACGCCUGGUGCAGCAACGCCGCGGGCGUGAUGCCGGCCUUCGAGUUGUGAACCGCUUUCGCCUGUGACGAAGCGUGAGUGACGGUAAUGGGUAAAGAAGCACCGGCUAACUACGUG